Molecule: non-coding RNA, 181 nt
Filed under: Photobacterium jeanii
Lineage: Bacteria; Pseudomonadati; Pseudomonadota; Gammaproteobacteria; Vibrionales; Vibrionaceae
Description: Bacterial small subunit ribosomal RNA
Rfam family: Bacterial small subunit ribosomal RNA
Source: Rfam by way of RNAcentral
UAAUUGAAGAGUUUGAUCAUGGCUCAGAUUGAACGCUGGCGGCAGGCCUAACACAUGCAAGUCGAGCGGCAGCGACAUCAACAAUCCUUCGGGUGCGUUGAUGGGCGGCGAGCGGCGGACGGGUGAGUAAUGCCUGGGAAUAUGCCCUGAUGUGGGGGAUAACCAUUGGAAACGAUGGCUA